This 253-nucleotide ribosomal RNA is filed under the name uncultured bacterium. Its description in RNAcentral is "partial 16S ribosomal RNA". It matches the Rfam family "Bacterial small subunit ribosomal RNA", at positions 524 to 776 of the family's 1533-position model. The record is from RNAcentral.
UACGUAGGGUGCAAGCGUUAAUCGGAAUCACUGGGCGUAAAGCGCACGUAGGCGGCUUGGUAAGUCAGGGGUGAAAUCCCACAGCCCAACUGUGGAACUGCCUUUGAUACUGCCAGGCUUGAGUACCGGAGAGGGUGGCGGAAUUCCAGGUGUAGGAGUGAAAUCCGUAGAUAUCUGGAGGAACACCGGUGGCGAAGGCGGCCACCUGGACGGUAACUGACGCUGAGGUGCGAAAGCGUGGGGAGCAAACGGG